RNAcentral lists this ribosomal RNA (460 nucleotides) under uncultured bacterium. Its description in RNAcentral is "partial 16S ribosomal RNA". It matches the Rfam family "Bacterial small subunit ribosomal RNA", at positions 28 to 507 of the family's 1533-position model. The record is from RNAcentral.
GACGAACGCUGGCGGCGUGCUUAACACAUGCAAGUCGAGCGGUAAGGCCUCUUCGGGGGUACACGAGCGGCGAACGGGUGAGUAACACGUGGGUGACCUGCCCUCAGCUCUGGGAUAAGCCUGGGAAACUGGGUCUAAUACCGGAUAUGACCUUUCCUCGCAUGGGGUUUGGUGGAAAGUUUUUUCGGCUGGGGAUGGGCCCGCGGCCUAUCAGCUUGUUGGUGGGGUGAUGGCCUACCAAGGCGACGACGGGUAGCCGGCCUGAGAGGGCGACCGGCCACACUGGGACUGAGACACGGCCCAGACUCCUACGGGAGGCAGCAGGGGGGAAUAUUGCGCAAUGGGCGGAAGCCUGACGAAGCGACGCCGCGUGGGGGAUGACGGCCUUCGGGUUGUAAACCUCUUUCGACCCCGACGAAUUUGGACGGUAGGGGUAGAAGAAGCACCGGCCAACUACGUG